GCAUCUUAUCACAGCCCCUCUGGCAUUUGCCAGAAACCACAGCUUGCCAGUCUGGGCUGGUUAUAUGAAGGGAUACAUAGGGUUCCCACAUGUUUAGACAGUGAAAUGUUAGACCUAAUUUGCAUAAGGGGGGGGUGAGUCCUUUGUUCUGUGCAGUGUGCUCUGGCAGAUUCCAGGUUUGGCCAGAAAGUGUCACUGUUGAGUCAUAUCUGCAUAAAGCUGAGCUGCCAUGUGCUCACUCAGUCUACUUCCUGGUUUUACUUCGGGUGCAUGGACACUGGGCAAAGCUGUAUGGGCCUGAAGUCUACAGAGGAGCGUUCAGUCUGUGCAGCUCUGGGAAACCAUGUUGCUACAUGUGAGACCGGACUUGCUGCAGGCUUCUGUACUACCACAAUGGCGGCGGCUGCUGCUGGAGGGCCUCGCAUCCGGCUGCUCCAAGGACUUUUAACCCCAGCAGGAAGACCAGAUCCGAGACCAGAUUUCUGCGGGGCUGGAGAUGCCCCUGAAUAAGGUACGGCUAGAGAGGUGCAUUGUGCUGAAGAACAAACUCCUGCAAUCCAAGUCUCCUGUUCUAGAAGAAGUGAGCAUCUAAGGCCAAUGGAGGCCAAAGUGUUGGUUGCUUAUGCCUGACUGAUUCUGGAAGUAGAAGACUGCCUUUAAUAUGCUUUUAGGCUAGAGAAGGGCAUUGUGUUGGGAAGAACAAACCCAUCCAAAAUCUGCGUAUCCUGUCGAAGGGAGUGUCGGUGGAGACUAGUGUUGGAUGCUCACACCUAAUUGUCACUUGAUAUCUGCUCAUGUAUUUGACAAACCUCGGGGGAGAAAUCUCAUCUUGUAACUCCUAUCUGUGAAUUUAGUACAAAUAAAGUGAUACCCUAAAAAAUGAA
This is a long non-coding RNA of Xenopus laevis (African clawed frog), 884 nucleotides long. RefSeq lists it as uncharacterized. The transcript is spliced from 4 exons. The record is from RefSeq and is a predicted model, not a curated record. Lineage: Eukaryota; Metazoa; Chordata; Amphibia; Anura; Pipidae.